UAUACAUGCAAGUCGAGCCGACUCGAAGAGAAGCUUGCUUCCUCUGAUAGUUACCGCGGACGGGUGAGUAACACGUAGGUAACCUACCCUAAAGCUUGGAAUAACUACCGGUACCCGUGGCUAAUACCGAAUAGUAUAUUGANCCGCAUGGUUCAAUGUUGAAAGACGGUUCGGCCUGUCACUCAUAGAUGGACCCGCGCCGUAUUAGCUAGUUGGUAAGGUACGGCUUACCAAGGCAUCGAUACGUAGCCGACCUGAGAGGGUGAUCGGCCACACUGGAACUUGAGACACGGUCCAGACUCCUACGGUAGUCAGCAGUAGGGAAUCUUCCGCAAUGGGCGAAAGCCUGACGGAGCAACGCCGCGUGAGUGAUGAAGGUCUUAGGAUCGUAAAACUCUGUUGUUAGGGAAGAACAAAUUUGUUAGUAACUGAACGAAGUCUUGACGGUACCUAACCAGAAAGCCACGGCUAACUACGUGCCAGCAGCCGCGGUAAUACGUAGGUGGCAAGCGUUAUCCGGAAUUAUUGGGCGUAAAGCGCGCGUAGGCGGUUUCUUAAGUCUGAUGUGAAAGCCCCCGGCUCAACCGUGGAGGGUCAUUGGAAACUGGGGAACUUGAGUGCAGAAGAGGAGAGUGGAAUUCCAUGUGUAGCGGUGAAAUGCGCAGAGAUAUGGAGGAACACCAGUGGCGAAGGCGGCUCUCUGGUCUGUAACUCACGCUGAUGGG
This 725-nucleotide ribosomal RNA is filed under the name uncultured low G+C Gram-positive bacterium. RNAcentral's name for it is "bacterial SSU rRNA". It matches the Rfam family "Bacterial small subunit ribosomal RNA", at positions 50 to 753 of the family's 1533-position model. Lineage: Bacteria; Bacillati; Bacillota. The record is from RNAcentral.